AUAACAAUACAGGACUCUUUCGAGGCACGGUAAUUGGAAUGAGUACACUUUAAAUCCUUUAAUGAGGAUCUAUUGGAGGGCAAGUCUGGCGCAGUACGACUGACCCGUGCGUGCUGCAGCUGAAACUCCAC
Non-coding RNA from Pelobates cultripes (western spadefoot toad), 131 nucleotides. The record is from the annotation of a GenBank genome assembly. Lineage: Eukaryota; Metazoa; Chordata; Amphibia; Anura; Pelobatidae.